Molecule: long non-coding RNA, 220 nt
Organism: Papilio xuthus (Asian swallowtail)
Lineage: Eukaryota; Metazoa; Arthropoda; Insecta; Lepidoptera; Papilionidae
Exons: 3
Source: RefSeq, a predicted model, not a curated record
AUAACUGUAUUAUUAAUUAAUUUAAUCAACUUUUUAGCAUACUUAGCUGACACGCACACAUCUAGACGAUUUCCAAAUGAUGAUCAAGAAAUCGUUUGUACAAAAGAGGCCUGCGGACAAAACUGUGGAGGAGACUGCUGUUGUUUAGUGCCAAAGCAGAAAUCCAAACGAUCUUCGGAUAUAUUUGAGGUUAACACUAUAUUUGCAAUGUAGUGAUAAA